UACGGGGGGGGGCAAGCGUUUGUUCGGAAUUACUGGGCGUAAAGGGCUCGUAGGCGGCCAACUAAGUCGGAUGUGAAAUCCCCAAGCUUAACUUGGGAACUGCAUCCGAUACUGGAUGGCUUGAAUCCGGGAGAGGGAUGCAGAAUUCCAGGUGUAGCGGUGAAAUGCGUAGAUAUCUGGAGGAAUACCGGUGGCGAAGGCGGCAUCCUGGACCGGCAUUGACGCUGACGGAGCGAA
Molecule: ribosomal RNA, 237 nt
Filed under: uncultured bacterium
Lineage: Bacteria
Description: partial 16S ribosomal RNA
Rfam family: Bacterial small subunit ribosomal RNA
Source: RNAcentral